GGCCGCCUGGCGAAAUGGCAUCGCGUCUGACUACGAUAAUGUUGCGGGCAAUUGUAAUCAGGAGAUUGCAGGUUCGACCCCUGCGGUGGUCA
Non-coding RNA from Lentinula lateritia, 92 nucleotides. NCBI's taxonomy places the organism in Eukaryota, Fungi, Basidiomycota, Agaricomycetes, Agaricales, Omphalotaceae. The record is from the annotation of a GenBank genome assembly.